RNAcentral lists this ribosomal RNA (164 nucleotides) under Arabidopsis thaliana (thale cress). Its description in RNAcentral is "5.8S ribosomal RNA". It matches the Rfam family "5.8S ribosomal RNA". Rfam says of the family: 5.8S ribosomal RNA (5.8S rRNA) is a component of the large subunit of the eukaryotic ribosome. It is transcribed by RNA polymerase I as part of the 45S precursor that also contains 18S and 28S rRNA. The record is from RNAcentral. Lineage: Eukaryota; Viridiplantae; Streptophyta; Magnoliopsida; Brassicales; Brassicaceae.
AAAACGACUCUCGGCAACGGAUAUCUCGGCUCUCGCAUCGAUGAAGAACGUAGCGAAAUGCGAUACUUGGUGUGAAUUGCAGAAUCCCGUGAACCAUCGAGUCUUUGAACGCAAGUUGCGCCCCAAGCCUUCUGGCCGAGGGCACGUCUGCCCGGGUGUCACAA